UGAAGUAGAGGAACAAGUUCCAUAUAGAAACUUCUUUGAUAAUUCACACUUCAAAUACGACUCCUGAAAUCAUUUCUUUCAGCUAUGAAAGCCACCAAAAGAAGCAUGAAUUUAAAAAUUAAAGUAACCCUGUAUUGUACUUAGGAAUAACUGGGGUAUUAAAGCUUAAACAUUAUUUGGAAGAAAGAAAUGGCAUAUUUUAAAAUUAGCUUUUCCUCUCCAAAAUAUAGAUAUAACCAUUCUGUACCACACUACUAAAGUCAUUACUCUUUAGAAGAUACGAUUAAUUAUUGUCUGCUAAUAUUAUUGGUUUUUAAUACUAUAAGGUGGCUCUGUUUUUAGGAUAUUAUAUUUUGAGGUCGCAUGCAGCCUCAAAUAUUCAAGAAGCUCAUGCCCAGCAUGUGCUUUUGGAGAAAAACAGUAAUCUUCAGCGUGGCAUAAGAAGUAAGGAAGAAAACAAAAGUAAAUAAAAUUAAGUGUUUUCCCUCUUAAAAUACUAUUUGCAUCAAGUCAUAGAGUUAAUAUUUUCCUUAUCCUGGUUCUUUUAUGACAAUGUCUAUGAAAGCGUCUAUAAAACCAUUCCACAACAAAAAGAAAGAAUGAAGUAUUUUUUUGAGAUGGAAUUUACUAUAUUAAAUUAUCUUUCAUACUUUUUAAAGCCAAAAAACAAAAUUACUGUAACUAGAAAUGACAUUUUAAGAUAAAAAUAUUAAAGAAAAUGAUGGUGGUGCAGGGUAGCUGUCAUGAGAGUCGCCACAAGUUUUACCAAAGGUCUCAAAGUGUGAUUACCAUUCAUACCUCCUCCCCUCCCAUCCAACAGUCCCUCAAAUCUCUGAAUGAGGCUCUUGGGCACUCCACUGGACUAAAGGUCCCCCAACUCCAAAGCUUCUCCACCCUUGCUUAAUUUUUUCAAAUGUAUUUUCAAAGGGAGACAAGAAGUUAAAACUUUUCCUUCCAAAAGAACUCUUCUGAGCUGCUUAGUCAGAAACAAAAAGGACCCCCUCAGGCUAAGUCAGAAUGGGCAAGAGGAGUGGGAAGAGGUGCAAGAGGAGAGAAAAGGAAAAAGGGAGAGAACCUGAAAUGAAAAAGUAAGGAACUAAAGAAGAAAGACUAGACAAAAAGGAGCAGUGAAAAAAAAGUACCUAGCUCCUUAACAUUUUUAAGUUCUACUAACGGAAAGACAAAUUCAAUUCUCGGUGGUGGUGGGGUUUUUUUUUUAAGUACUGAGGUUUUACAUAAAAUUUAAAGCUCUUCUUUUCAUUCCUCCUAUCAAAUGUAACAGUAUCCCUACUACACAUGCUUCUUAUUUUAUUCAUCUGUAAACCAUUCCUGUCAACUCUCAAAUGCAGGUCUAGUCAAUCUCAAGGUCACUGGGCACACAUGCUCCUCCAGUUAAUAGGUUUGGGAUACAACCUCGUUGCUGUAAGAUUUUUUUUUUAGCUCUUUUAAUGUGUCAGUCCAGGCUUUUAAUACCUUUCAUCAAAUUAUUACUCAUAACUGGUCUCACAAGACCCAUAGUAGUUUAGCUUGAAGCCUGACCCUCUAAAUGUACAUGUUGUGACAUUCUUUGAAGGUAUUUACAGAAAAUCAUGGCAAUGACAUUUGUACUGAGACCAAAUAAGCAAUAUCUGUAAUUUGGGCCAUGGCUAAGAAAGGCUUGUGGCUUGACAAGGUGGGGACAGAUGAAGGGGGCGGUUGCUAUGGAAAAAAUGUGUGUUUAAGAUCAGAGAGCACUAUAAUAUUUCAUGUGAAAAUUUUCAUUAAGUACUAGGAAAGUAAAAAUCAAGUAAAGCCAACAAAUGUUUAUUAGGCAAUUAGGCACCCAUGGGCUGCCAAGCACUCUGCUAACUGACAAUGAAGAACUUUCUGUAAAGUAAAUCUGUUGAAGUAUACAUACAUAAUGUGCAACAAAUCAGAAGUAUACAGCCUGGUGAACUUUCUGUAAAUUGACAAACCAGAAUAACUACCAUUAAAUUCAAGAUAUAGAACAUUACAGACACAUGCAAAAGAAAGAAAAUAGAUCUUUGUUUUAUAUCACAUACAAGAAUAGCCUAUACUCUGGUUUCUCUUCAGAUCAUAUAAAUCUUUCACCUUAUACAAGAAUAGCCUAACAAUAGAUUAAAGACUUAAAUGUAAGACCCAAAACCAUACAUACAACUCCUAGGCCAAGAAAACAUAGGCAAAAAUUCUCUGACAUCACUCCUAGUAGUAUUUUUUUUAAUAUGUCUCCUCAGGCAAGAGAAACAGAAGAAAAAAUAAAUAAAUGGGACUAUAUCAAACCAAACAGUUUUUGCACAGCAAAGUAAACCAUCAACAAAAUGAAAAGACAACCCACUGAAUGUGCAAAGAUAUGUGCCAGUGAUGUAUCUGAUUAGGGGUUAAUAUCCAAAAAACAUAAGAACUCAUAUAAUUUAACACCAAAAAUUAAAAACAAAAACAA
Molecule: long non-coding RNA, 2440 nt
Organism: Phyllostomus discolor (pale spear-nosed bat)
Lineage: Eukaryota; Metazoa; Chordata; Mammalia; Chiroptera; Phyllostomidae
Exons: 2
Source: RefSeq, a predicted model, not a curated record